GAACUUAGCAGGUAGAAAAGGAAAGAAGUGAAAAUUUUGGUCUGAAAUGGUGAGGUUUUUGGUUUCCUGAUGGUUUUAAAUUUUGGCCAAUAGUUACUAUAUCAGCUGAUGUCUAUUUAGUUUUAGCAUAUCAAGAAUCAACAUUGCAGGACAAUAAAUUUUGGACUCGAACCAUAUUGGUUUUUCUCCUAUUUUGGGAAAAUACUUAUCUAUCCAAUAUACUUAUGUGACCAAUAAAUAACAGUUGAAAUGGCUUUUACGUUAAUUUUGGGAAGAAGGGAGAGGGGAGAGAGAAGCAGGCAUGCUUGGGACUAUGCUUGGCUGAUUGGGCACUCUUUUCUUUUUUUCUUUUUUAAUUUAUUUU
RNAcentral lists this unclassified non-coding RNA (364 nucleotides) under Hevea brasiliensis (rubber tree). The record is from RNAcentral. Lineage: Eukaryota; Viridiplantae; Streptophyta; Magnoliopsida; Malpighiales; Euphorbiaceae.